ACACGAUCCUCAUCCAUCCAAAUCACCCCAUUUUUCUUUAAAACCACAGCCACUUUCACCAUUCUCACACCACCAUUUUCAAUUCCUGCAGCAAGUUCACACAGCAACUACACCACCAGACCAAGGUCCAGACGGGAAGUGAAAGCUAAAGAAGGAGGUAACUCUACGCCCCUAGUGGGAACGGAAUGAGGUUGAGCGGGUGAUGGAAUGGAGUGGAGUUGAGCGGAUGUACCUUUUGACAUAAAAUAGUAAUGUAACCUUGAGUAUACAUCUUCAUAUGUAUAACUCACACGUAUUUCCGCUGCAAGAUACUCUGAUUAUGCUAAUGUUUUAUUUUAAGUAUGAUACUCUUUUGUUGGGUAA
Molecule: long non-coding RNA, 363 nt
Organism: Salvia miltiorrhiza (redroot sage)
Lineage: Eukaryota; Viridiplantae; Streptophyta; Magnoliopsida; Lamiales; Lamiaceae
Exons: 3
Source: RefSeq, a predicted model, not a curated record